UGCUCUGUAGUUGAAUAAAAACAACGGUAAAUUGCAAGUUUACAGGUGUAGUAAUACUAGGGUAU
Molecule: transfer RNA, 65 nt
Filed under: Lepetodrilus guaymasensis
Lineage: Eukaryota; Metazoa; Mollusca; Gastropoda; Lepetellida; Lepetodrilidae
Description: tRNA-Cys
Source: RNAcentral